This 331-nucleotide ribosomal RNA is filed under the name uncultured eukaryote. RNAcentral describes it as "partial 18S ribosomal RNA". It matches the Rfam family "Eukaryotic small subunit ribosomal RNA", at positions 1470 to 1796 of the family's 1831-position model. The record is from RNAcentral.
CCCUUAGAUGUUCUGGGCCGCACGCGCGCUACACUGACGAAGUCAGCGAGCAUGUCCUACGCCGACAGGUGCGGGGAAUCUUGUCAAACUUCGUCGUGAUGGGGAUUGAUUUUUGAAAUUCUUGAUCAUAAACGAGGAAUUCCUAGUAAGCGCAAGUCAGCAGCUUGCGUUGAUUACGUCCCUGCCCUUUGUACACACCGCCCGUCGCUACUACCGAUUGAAUGGUUUAGUGAGAUCUUCGGAUUGGCGCCACUGUAGCUCAGCAAUGGGCUUGGUGGAUGCCGAAAAGUUGAUCAAACUUGAUCAUUUAGAGGAAGUAAAAGUCGUAACA